This 430-nucleotide ribosomal RNA is filed under the name Bacillota bacterium. Its description in RNAcentral is "Firmicutes bacterium partial 16S ribosomal RNA". It matches the Rfam family "Bacterial small subunit ribosomal RNA", at positions 355 to 776 of the family's 1533-position model. The record is from RNAcentral. Lineage: Bacteria; Bacillati; Bacillota.
UGGGGAAUAUUGGACAAUGGGCGAAAGCCUGAUCCAGCCAUGCCGCGUGUGUGAAGAAGGCCUUUUGGUUGUAAAGCACUUUAAGCGAGGAGGAGGCUACUUAGAUUAAUACUCUAGGAUAGUGGACGUUACUCGCAGAAUAAGCACCGGCUAACUCUGUGCCAGCAGCCGCGGUAAUACAGAGGGUGCGAGCGUUAAUCGGAUUUACUGGGCGUAAAGCGUGCGUAGGCGGCUUCUUAAGUCGGAUGUGAAAUCCCUGAGCUUAACUUAGGAAUUGCAUUCGAUACUGGGAAGCUAGAGUAUGGGAGAGGAUGGUAGAAUUCCAGGUGUAACGGUGAAAUGCGUAGAGAUCUGGAGGAAUACCGAUGGCGAAGGCAGCCAUCUGGCCUAAUACUGACGCUGAGGUACGAAAGCAUGGGGAGCAAACAGG